Molecule: long non-coding RNA, 774 nt
Organism: Pieris napi
Lineage: Eukaryota; Metazoa; Arthropoda; Insecta; Lepidoptera; Pieridae
Exons: 3
Source: RefSeq, a predicted model, not a curated record
AUAACAUAAUAGACACAGAUAAAUAUGAAAAUAUCAAGAAAAUCAGCAAAUUAGUAGAGAUGAUAAAGCAGUAACUAAUGAACAUAAUUAGAAGUUCUAAAUAUAUUUUAUUGUAAUUAUAAUAGAAGCUAAUGAUAUAAUAUUGAUUAUAUUAAUCAAAUAAAGUGGAUUUAUACUUCAUCAACUUUGGAAAUAUAAAAUCUAGUGAGCAUUACUAAGGAAUGAAAAAGAGAAGCUAUGGAGUAUGAAAUAAUGGUUGGUUAAGUAACAUUACCUCAAGAACAGGAAACAGUAACUGAAACUAUGUUCUUCUACAUUUAAUCUUAAUAAGUUCAGCAGUUUGAAUGUUAAUGAGACAUUAUUAUAAACAAACUGCAUUUGUAGAUUUUGGGAAGAAUUAUAUCUUUACAAUAACUAUUAUUAUUUACAAUUGUUGUGUUAAGGAAACAAUCACUAUUUUUUUAAUCGCCCAGGAUGUAUUCAUAGUAACUAUAGGUAUCAUAGUAAUUUUAUGAAGCAUCACAACAUCUAACAUUAGGUUUUAUGAAUUGAACAAUUUUUUGUAUAUAACAGCACACAAACAAGAUAUUGACAUUGCUGCAAACUAACACUUACAUUUAUUAGUUAAUUAUCUACAUAUAUAAAUAUGAAUACAUCUACAUUAGGUAGUAAUGCAUUUAAUUUGAUGCACCUCUGUGUGUUCUGUUUUGUUUAAUAAGUUGUUACUUAUGCUUAUUUUUCUAUGUAGACUGCAUUAUGUUAAGGAAGAUAUUU